UCUAGCUGGUCAGGAUACUCGGCU
This 24-nucleotide non-coding RNA is filed under the name Arabidopsis thaliana (thale cress). The record is from RNAcentral. Lineage: Eukaryota; Viridiplantae; Streptophyta; Magnoliopsida; Brassicales; Brassicaceae.